CUCAGAUUGAACGCUGGCGGGAUGCUUUACACAUGCAAGUUUGAACACGAAAAUAUGACUUCGGUCUGGUGGCGAGUGGCGAACGGUGAGUAAAUGUAUCGUGGAACGUGCCUAGUAGCGGGGAUAACUACGCGAAAGCGUAGCUAAUACCGCAUGGCCGCCCUUCGGGGGAAAGCGGGGACCUUCGGCCUCGCAAUUUUGCCAGAGCGGCUGAUAUCGGAUUAGCGAAGCUGGUGGGCAACGGCUCGCUUACCAAGGCGACGAUCCGCAGCUGGUUUGAGAGGACGACCAGCCACAGCUGGGACUGAGAUUACUGGCCCAGACUCCUACGAGGCAGCAGGGAAUUUGGACAAUGGGGGAAACCCUGAUCCAGCCAUCUCGGCGUGUGCGAUGAAGGCCUUCGGGUUGUAAAGCACUUUUGGCAGGAAAGAAAACGACACGGGGAUAAUACCCUGUGCAACUGACGGUACCUGCAGUAUCAAGCACCGGCUAACUACGUGCCAGCAGCCGCGGUAAUACGUAGGGUGCAAGCGUUAAUCGGAAUUACUGGGCGUAAAGCGUGCGCAGGGGCGGUUCGGAAAGAAAGAUGUGAAAUCCCAGAGCGAAUUGAACCAUUUUUAACUACCGAGCUAGAGUGUAAACAGAGGGAGGUGGACUCCGCGUGUGCAGUGAAAUGCGUAGAUAUGCGGAGGAACACCGAUGGCGAAGGCAGCUCUGGGAUAACACUUGACGCUCAUGCACGAAAGCGUGGGGAGCAAACAGAUUAGAUACCCUGGUAGUCCACGCCCUAAACGAUGUCAUCUGAAGGUUGUAGCCUUCGGGCCUUUGUAUAGCAGCUAACGCGAAGCUGGCCGCCUUGGGGAGUACGGUCGCAAGAUAAAACUCAAAGAAUUGACGGGACCCGCACAGCGGUGGAUGAUGUGGAUUAAUUCGAUGCAACGCGAAAACCUUACCUUUACCCUGACAUGUUCGGAAUCCCGAAGAGAUUUGGGGAGUGUUUCAAGAUAACCGGAACACAGGUGCUGCAUGGCUGUCGUCAGCUCGUGGCCGUGAGAUGUUGGGUUAAGUCCCGCAACGAGCGCAACCCUUGUCAUUAGUUGCUACGAGUACCUGACGAGACUGCCGGUGACAAACUGGAGGAAGGUGAUGACGUCAAGUCCUUCAUGGCCCUUAUGGGUAGGGCUUCACACGUCAUACAAUGGUCGGGACAGAGGGUCACAACCCGCGAGGGGUGCCAAUCCUUAGAAACCUGAUCGUAGUCCGGAUCGCAGUCUGCAACUCGGACUGCGUGAAGUCGGAAUCGCUAGUAAUCGCGGAUCAGCAUGUCGCGGUGAAUACGUUCCCGGCCCUGUACACACCGCCCGUCACACCAGCGGGGAGUGGUUUACCAGGAGUAGUUAGUCAACCAAGCAGGGCGAUUACCACGGUAGAUUCAAGACUGGGGUGUAGUCGUAACAAGGUACAG
Molecule: ribosomal RNA, 1465 nt
Filed under: uncultured Bordetella sp.
Lineage: Bacteria; Pseudomonadati; Pseudomonadota; Betaproteobacteria; Burkholderiales; Alcaligenaceae
Description: partial 16S-23S ribosomal RNA intergenic spacer
Rfam family: Bacterial small subunit ribosomal RNA
Source: RNAcentral